AGCAGCUGUUGCCAGUCUACACCUCUGCUGCAGCAACACCAGAUCGGAGUUGCAUCUGCAACCUACAGUGCUGCUUGUGGCAAUGCUGGAUCCUUAACCCACUGAGCCAGGCCAGGGAUUAAACCCACAUCCUCACUCAAGAGGCCACACACAGUCCUUGGUUUCUGGCCCCUUCAUCCAUCUUCAAAGCUGGCAAUGGUACAUCACUUGCUCCUUUCUCCUGCAGUCCCAUCUCCUCUGAUUCCAGCUGGAAAGAGUUUCUGCUUUAUGAACCCAUGAGAUUAGAUGGGACCUACCCAAGCAAUCCAGGAGAAUCUUUUCACAUCAAAGUGAGUAAGGAAAGCACAGUCUGCCAGGAAAAUGGUUAUCUGCCAGAGGUGUCAGGCUGUUUACCACUGUGGCUUGGCCUCCACCCUUCUGAACAACUGCUGAGAACCACCCCCUUCUGGUCUUGACAUCUUUGAGGUCAAAAGAAGGAUGCAAGCACCUGUCAGCAGGGCUGGGACCCGCAGCAGCUGACACCCGCAGGGUGCACCUGUGACUUGAAUGGAGACAACACAUUUCUUCCUUUACAAAGUGGGGGAGUGGGAGUUCCCAUUGUGACUCAUGGGUUAAGAACCUGACAUAGUCUCCACGAGGGUGCAGUUUCCAUCCCUGGCUUCGCUUAGAGCGUUAAGGAUCUGGUGUUGCCACAAUGGGCCUAUGGCUGUGGUGUAGACCAGCAGCUGCAACUCUGAUUCCACCCCUAGCCUGGGAACAUCCUUAUGUUUCAGGGGUGUCCCUAAAAAGAAAAAAAAAAAAAGUAGGGGAGAAUCCUACUGCGAUAGGUAUUUUCUUUGCUUACCUACUUCUCAAAUUUUUGCCUUUUAGACGAUAACAUGGUUAGAAACAGAUAGAUUUUUAAAAAAUUCCUUCUAGUAAACUACUGAUUUUCAGUCCCAAGCUGGGCCCCAUGGGCUCUUCAACAAUCUCACGCUCUGCUGCAUAUCACAGUGAAAACUGGGAACCAAAACUCAUUUUCUUGGCCCAAGGCAGUCAUAUUGGUAGUGGGGAGGGGAACUUCACAGCAUGAAGAUACUAUAGGAUAAUUAUCUCAGUCCCUUUCCAUGUGGCCUAUUGAGAGGUGACUUUUUAACUUCUUAGCACCUUGAAAUUAGUCUGACAUAAUUUGAAAAUAAUACAUAAUGUAUUUAAUGCAACUUCACUGUAAUUAAAGAUGAAGUUUAGGAGUUCCCGUCGUGGCGCAGUGGUUAACGAAUCCGACUAGAAACUAUUAGGUUGCGGGUUCGGUCCCUGCCCUUGCUCAGUGGGUUAACGAUCCGGUGUUGCCGUGAGCUGUGGUGUAGGUUGCAGACGUGGCUCGGAUCCCGCGUUGCUGUGGCUCUGGCAUAGGCCGGGGGCUACAGCUCCGAUUCAACCCCUAGCCUGGGAACCUCCAUAUGCCGCGGGAGCGGCCCGAGAAAUAGCAACAACAACAAAAGACAAAAGACCACAACAACAACAACAAAAGACAAAA
RNAcentral lists this long non-coding RNA (1516 nucleotides) under Sus scrofa (pig). RNAcentral's name for it is "lncRNA (ENSSSCG00065014766.1)". The record is from RNAcentral. Lineage: Eukaryota; Metazoa; Chordata; Mammalia; Artiodactyla; Suidae.